Molecule: long non-coding RNA, 2209 nt
Organism: Chinchilla lanigera (long-tailed chinchilla)
Lineage: Eukaryota; Metazoa; Chordata; Mammalia; Rodentia; Chinchillidae
Exons: 3
Source: RefSeq, a predicted model, not a curated record
AAGAGAGAGAAACGAAACUGAUGGAAGCGUAGAAAUCCAAGCUCAAGGCCCCGAGGGAGAGAAGACACACGAGCAGUUUCCAAGGAGACACUGCUUUAUCGGGAUGCAGGAUGUGACAGUUUGUACAACUGCACAGUGAAAAGCAGAACCCGACACCGGCAGCAGGCGCCGCCACUGACGUUUUCACCCGUUUCGCUUCCUUUCAGCCCGAGGACCUCAUUCAUGCCACAGGGAAGAGCCUGGCCAUGAAGCUGUACCUGCAACCCUUGAGUAAUUUCCUGAAUGGCCACAGGUUUUGCUGAAGCUGCUAAGAAGAUCUCUCUCAGCAAGCAUCAGAGGCCUGCAAGUCAGAGUAUAUCACAGUGAAUACUUCUGAAACCCACUGGGGGGGGUCUCCUUGUUUUGUGGGAGGGUCUCCUUAUUUGAGAGGACCCAUCACAGGUCUGCCCUGGGCCACUUCUUCUUUAGGGCUUGGAGCUGCGACUCUAGAGGGGUUAUUUUGAGCGCCAGCUACAAAAGCUUGUGUGUCUAUCAUCUACCUAUCAUGAACAUCAUAACAUACACAUCCUUUAUAUAUACGUGUAUCUAUGGACACAUGUAUGUGUGUACCUCUGUCCACGAACUUAAUUCAUCCUGUGAUUCUGAAAAAGAUGGCCACAUUCAUGUUCACGCAGGGAAGAUGGCUGCGUUCAUACUCAUUACCCCAUGCAGAGAUCACCAUCAAAAACAAAACUUUGCUAAACGCUUCUGUUUACAAACUACGUUGUUCACAAGUAAAAGUGUCCGUGAACCAAGGCAGCACUGUCUAUGUCUAAAACGAGCCCUGAGCCUUCAGUAAAUGCUGAUUGCUUUCUUACGUUUAUACAGCUGCACCUUGUUUUCCAGAUGCACUAUAUACAUUUGUUGUUCCCACUAAGGAGUUUAAGGCGAAUAAUUAAUGAAUGGAAUUAUGUGACUCAUCCUGUUGAAGAAAAUGAUUCCAUUUCUAAUGGGAAAUUACCGCAAUAAUUUCAGUAGCAUAGCAGUUACCAUCAGAGAGACGUGAGUAAUAACAACUUCCUGUUUGUAGGAGUCUCUUCUGUACGGUUCUCGUCUAACACCCGAGCUGAGCUGAACUGGACCUGGCCAGCGUGCAGCCAAACGCCCUGCCCCACUCAGCAGCUCCUCCCGCAGCGCGGGGCCCUGGAACAACCUGGAGAUCUGAAUGGUGACACAGUAGCAAAGCCAGGAUGAUGCUGGAAACAUGCACGGAGCAAAACCAGUUCUGAGCUAAACGAAGCUUCACGCUCGUGGCGCUGCCAGAUGGUUCCAAGGGUCCUGGCUUCCUACCUUGCCCACGUUCACAUUUCCACUCUCAACCAAAGAAGCCCAGCUCUCACAGACAGGCACUCAGCCUGCCUACCAUGCACGCAAAACAAAAGCGGAAACGAAAAAGAUACCGUAAUUCACCAAAGGGCCGGUCUCUGUACUUUUCUACAAGCGAUUUUUUUUCUCCUGUCACAAAACUAUGAGACACAGAGAAAGUUCAGUUCCUUUGUCGGUCCUCCCCUGAGUGCUUACAGCCGUCUCUGACUUCUCUUCCAAAGCAUGCCCUUCCCUUUCUCCCCGGGUCCCCAGCUGCCUUCUUUCUCUCUCCUACACCCCUGCCCAAGCCCUGCCCAGUGUGUGUGUUGGGGUUCACUGCUCCGCGAUUAACGUCUGCCCAGCCAGCCUCGGGGAUGGUUUCUGAUUAACUGUGAACAGGGGCCCCCAGGCCCGGGUUCUCCCCGCUGUUUCCUCACAUCCUCAGCCCCUCCCGUCCGCAGCUCCCCCGUUACGCCGUCCUCCUGACCCUUCCCACCAUCCCUGUUUCCGCCGCCCUUUCUCAGUAAGGGUCUUUGCGCAGAGUCUCAGUGACCAAGGAGGAGCAUGGCCCACAGCAGGCCGGGCGUGGGGCCCGGCUCCUCUAGUCCACCUGGCCAGUUUCCCCAGAGGGCCUGGGGGACACCUCGGCUCCGCCUCCCGCUGCCAGCCUCGGCCCACUGCAGGGCACAGGUUCUCACUGGGGGGUUGAGGGACCCCAGGGCAGUUGGUUAAUUUUCCAAACUGGGUCAAGGGGUGGGGCCUGGUGUGUGGGAGCACUCACACCAAGGUCCCUGGUCCCUUGCAGACCCUGGGCUCAGGCCCUGGGACACUCUGGGCAAGACCGGGACCCUGCGUGCCAGCCAGC